RNAcentral lists this ribosomal RNA (497 nucleotides) under uncultured bacterium. RNAcentral's name for it is "partial 16S ribosomal RNA". It matches the Rfam family "Bacterial small subunit ribosomal RNA", at positions 28 to 507 of the family's 1533-position model. The record is from RNAcentral.
GAUGAACGCUGGCGGCGUGCCUAAUACAUGCAAGUCGAGCGAACAGAUGAGGAUCUUGCUCCUCUGACGUUAGCGGCGGACGGGUGAGUAACACGUGGAUAACCUACCUAUAAGACUGGGAUAACUUCGGGAAACCGGAGCUAAUACCGGAUAAUAUAUUGAACCGCAUGGUUCAAUAGUGAAAGACGGUUUUGCUGUCACUUAUAGAUGGAUCCGCGCCGCAUUAGCUAGUUGGUAAGGUAACGGCUUACCAAGGCAACGAUGCGUAGCCGACCUGAGAGGGUGAUAGGCCACACUGGAACUGAGACACGGUCCAGACUCCUACGGGAGGCAGCAGUAGGGAAUCUUCCGCAAUGGGCGAAAGCCUGACGGAGCAACGCCGCGUGAGUGAUGAAGGUCUUCGGAUCGUAAAACUCUGUUAUUAGGGAAGAACAAAUGUGUAAGUAACUAUGCACGUCUUGACGGUACCUAAUCAGAAAGCCACGGCUAACUACGUG